GACGAACGCUGGCGGCGUGCUUAACACAUGCAAGUCGAGCGGUAAGGCCCUUUCGGGGGUACACGAGCGGCGAACGGGUGAGUAACACGUGGGUGACCUGCCCUUAGCUCUGGGAUAAGCCUGGGAAACUGGGUCUAAUACCGGAUAUGACUCCAUGACGCAUGUUGUGGGGUGGAAAGCCUUGUGCGGCUAGGGAUGGGCCCGCGGCCUAUCAGCUUGUUGGUGGGGUGAUGGCCUACCAAGGCGACGACGGGUAGCCGGCCUGAGAGGGCGACCGGCCACACUGGGACUGAGACACGGCCCAGACUCCUACGGGAGGCAGCAGUAGGGAAUCUUGCGCAAUGGGCGAAGGCCUGACGCAGCGACGCCGCGUGGGGAUGACGGCCUCGGUUGUAA
This 396-nucleotide ribosomal RNA is filed under the name uncultured bacterium. Its description in RNAcentral is "bacterial SSU rRNA". It matches the Rfam family "Bacterial small subunit ribosomal RNA", at positions 28 to 428 of the family's 1533-position model. The record is from RNAcentral.